This 402-nucleotide ribosomal RNA is filed under the name uncultured bacterium. RNAcentral's name for it is "bacterial SSU rRNA". It matches the Rfam family "Bacterial small subunit ribosomal RNA", at positions 355 to 774 of the family's 1533-position model. The record is from RNAcentral.
UGGGGAAUCUUGGACAAUGGGCGAAAGCCUGAUCCAGCCAUGCCGCGUGGGUGAAGAAGGCCCUAGGGUUGUAAAGCCCUUUCAGCGGGGAGGAUGAUGACGUCACCCGCAGAAGAAGCCCCGGCUAACUCCGUGCCAGCAGCCGCGGUAACACGGAGGGGGCAAGCGUUGUUCGGAAUUACUGGGCGUAAAGCGCGCGUAGGCGGUCGUGCAAGUUAGGCGUGAAAGGCCUGGGCUCAACCUGGGAGGUGCGCCUGAUACUGCGCGACUUGAGUCCGGGAGAGGAUGGCGGAAUGCCCAGUGUAGAGGUGAAAUUCGUAGAUAUUGGGUAGAACACCAGUGGCGAAGGCGGCCAUCUGGACCGGCACUGACGCUGAGGCGCGACAGCGUGGGGAGCAAACA